RNAcentral lists this long non-coding RNA (1059 nucleotides) under Equus caballus (horse). RNAcentral describes it as "lncRNA (ENSECAG00000049783.1)". Lineage: Eukaryota; Metazoa; Chordata; Mammalia; Perissodactyla; Equidae. The record is from RNAcentral.
CGUGGUUCUGGCAGCUGCCCAAUUCAACAGGCAGCUCUCUUAUUGUGUCAGAGGCAGCAGCUGCCCUGGCAGCCCACUUCUUGUGGUGUGGCUUCAGGAGAGGACCCAGGAAUCUCAGACCGAAGUCUGUUAUUUCAGCCCUCCCAAUAAUUCCAUGAGCCAUUGAAUAUAAUAUACCUCUUUCUGCUUAAACUAGCUAGAGUGGAUUCUGUCUCUACAAAUGGACUCUGACCCAUGCAAUUUCCACAAGGAAUAUUUAGAUAUUGAAAAGAGAUCAAGAACCCAUCACUACCUGUUCAGAUCAAUCUAGCCUUUUCCCAGUUCUCAAAAAAAAAAAUCUUAGAACCAGGUGGAAUCUUCAUUGCAUUCAUUUUAAAUGUUUAGUAUCCAAGCACAAGGGCUAGUGCUUAUUUCCAUAUGUAUGUAAAAAUUAUUUAACUUAUUUUAUAUUGGCCUCAAAAUCCUUACUUUCACAAGUAAGAAAAUUGAUCAUAAAAAUCAUUUUCUAUUUCAUGUUCACACCUCUCUAUUAGAGAGUAAAGAAGUUAAUCAACUAAUAGUUUGUGUCUACAUUGAUCCAUUUCCCUCUUCCCCAGGGAACUCUAAGGUAUUAGGAAAUUUUUAAGCUUCAGAAUAAAAGCAAAAUAUGGCAGCACAAAACUGUCUGUUGGGAAUUUGAAAAUAAUUUUGAGAUGCUAAGAAGAACAAUUUAAAAAUCUUUAGUUAACGACAAAUGAGUUAUUAUUCGGGGAAAAAACUCUACUACUGAUUUUGCUGAAUAUUAACUAAUUCAAACUUAUUGGCCAGAAUGUACACACUUUUCUUGGCUUAUUAGAAUAAAAAGAUUAUAGAUCACAUUAUUUUCUUAAAGAUUAAAUUUAAUGAUUUUCCCUUGAUUGCAUGUUCAUUGUAGAAAUCCACAAUCCAUAAUCCUACCACCCAUAUAUAACUAUUGAUAAUCUUAGUACAUAUUCUUGUCUCUUUCUUUUGUGUAUGCGUGUACUAUUGACUUUACUUUCUUUUUUUGAAUAAUACAUUAUAUUACAAAAAUGGCUUUAA